CCUACGGGAGGCAGCAGUGGGGAAUAUUGCACAAUGGGCGAAAGCCUGAUGCAGCGACGCCGCGUGAGGGAUGACGGCCUUCGGGUUGUAAACCUCUUUCAGCAGGGAAGAAGCGAAAGUGACGGUACCUGCAGAAGAAGCGCCGGCUAACUACGUGCCAGCAGCCGCGGUAAUACGUAGGGCGCAAGCGUUGUCCGGAAUUAUUGGGCGUAAAGAGCUCGUAGGCGGCUUGUCACGUCGGGUGUGAAAGCCCGGGGCUUAACCCCGGGUCUGCAUUCGAUACGGGCCAGCUAGAGUGUGGUAGGGGAGAUCGGAAUUCCUGGUGUAGCGGUGAAAUGCGCAGAUAUCAGGAGGAACACCGGUGGCGAAGGCGGAUCUCUGGGCCAUUACUAACGCUGAGGAGCGAAAGCGUGGGGAGCGAACAGGAUUAGAUACCCUGGUAGUCCACGCCGUAAACGGUGGGAACUAGGUGUUGGCGACAUUCCACGUCGUCGGUGCCGCAGCUAACGCAUUAAGUUCCCGCCUGGGGAGUACGGCCGCAAGGCUAAAACUCAAAGGAAUUGACGG
This 567-nucleotide ribosomal RNA is filed under the name uncultured bacterium. Its description in RNAcentral is "bacterial SSU rRNA". It matches the Rfam family "Bacterial small subunit ribosomal RNA", at positions 338 to 916 of the family's 1533-position model. The record is from RNAcentral.